CCCCUCGCGCUGCCCAGCCCAGGGGAGGGGGAGGGGGAGCCGGGACGAGGUGUGCGUGUGUGAGCCGGGGGGGCGGCCGAGGGGGACGAGGAAGGCGAUCCGGUUUGCUGAAGGUCAAAGCCCAGGAGCUUGUUGCGAAGGGGUUCGCAGCGCGCUGCCGCCGCGUCUUCCCCCUCCUUCUCCUCCUCCUCCUCCUCCUCCGCGCUGGCUGCCUUCGCACGACGCAGAGCGAGCGCUGGUAAACAAGAGCCCCGGCGUCGCUCCGCCGCGCCCGCCGCCGCUUCUCCGCUCUGCGGCCGCGCGGGGACGGGGCUCGCGCCCGCCCGCUCCCUCCCGCGCGCGCACGCGCCCUCUUCUCGCGCGGGGGCGCGCGCGCUCAAACACGCUCACCCCCCGGCUCCCCCUCCCCCCUCCUCUCUCCUCGCGGGCUCCCCGCGCUCAGGCGGCGGCGCGCGCGGAGGCGGCGGCGGGGCGCGAGCGGGCGCGAGGCAAAAGCCGGAGCGGCGCGGCGCGGAGCGGAGCGGGGCGGCUGCACCCGGGGCCGGGCUGUGCUGCUCCCGCCGCUCCGGCGGCCGAGCCGACGGGAUGAAGGGGAAAAAGAAGACGGCGACCGAGCCCUGAUGGCCGCAGCGAGCAUCCUGCCGGGGGGACCGGGCGGGAAAGAACGGCGGGAGAGCCAACGAGCGACCCCCUUGCUGGUGCCGACACCUCUGUGUUCCGCAGAAAUGCAAAAUUAAAACGGAAGGGACUGAGUUAGGGGGAAUGAGAAACGCGUCGCUUUGAUUUUCACGUGUUCUGCUUGUUUAUUUACUGCGUUUAAUUUGGAACAGGCUGCCCAGGGAUGUUGUGGAGUCUCCUACUCCGGAGACGUUGAAAACCCCCCUGGACGCCUUUGUGUGUAACCUCGUCUGGGUGUUCCUGAUCCGGCGGGGGGAUUGGGCUCGAUGAUCUUUUGAGGUCCCUUGCGAUCCCUGACAUUCUGUGAUUCUGCUGUCGCUCCUCUGGGUCAAACAGCACGGCUGUAGCACGCAGCUCUUGGGAUGAGAUUUAGGCGGGAGCAAGGGCCGGGACUACCAAGGCUCAGCUUAGCAGAGGGAGCCAACACGUGUCCCCUGCCAUACCAAGGAUCUCCAGUGAAUACUCCCAAUAUUGCCUGGUUUGUGCACAUUUCUCCACUGUUCGCUAGUCUCCUGCAAUGACAUUGCGCACCCUGGCCCCAAAUGUGGGGAGAUGGGAUUAGUUGUAGCAGAAGAGGUUUGGGCUUUUCGGGAUCGGAAACCGUGGGCCGUGUUCCCGCUGUGUCGCCAAAGCUUGUAGUAGCCAUGCUGCACAGCAUAUGGGUGUCCUGAGUAAUCACAGAUUUGUUGUAAUACUUUGGCAUGAGGAGAUAUCAAAAUGAUGCUGAAGUAGAAGAAAGCAGACAUCUGUGAGCAUUAGCUGUGCUCUGGUUCAAAAAAAAACCCCUACAGUAAGAAAUAUGCAAAUGUCACAUUAUUAAUGCAAAUGUCAAAAUUAACUUUUUACAUUUAAACCUGAGUUCUUCUUGAACAUCCUGUAUUACAUGAGGCUUCCAUUAUUUUACUACAUCAUUUUAUACAACCUUACACCUGUUUUUGUAGCUUCUCUGUCCAUUUUUCUACCAUUUGCCUUGUCAGAAUGCUCCAGUAGUGUUGUCUUAGUUACACAUUGUCUCUCAUACCCCUUAGGAAAGAUGAAAAGGCUUUAUUCUGCACCACAGAAGUCAGGGUGAAAAUCAUCACUGAGUACAACGGGGCAGAAUUGCCAGACAUGUACAUGUAUCCAGGACUGUGUCAAUAAUUCAAUAAUAAGUCAAAACAUGGGUGCGUGCCCUUUUCGGUGGUGACACAACUCUCUCAAGAUUCAGUGCAGGAGAAUAAGGCAUUUCUGUAUGAAGCUCUCCUGGACUGCCAUGCAUGUGUCUACCAUCAAUUUUAUCAACUGUGCACUGGCUUUCAAGGCUUCAGUUAAAUUGGACCAGAAAGAUCUUCGUGUCCAGUAAAUUUUUGCUAUUGCUCUGAACAGCUGUGCCUUCUACUAGUGCUGGAUACCCAGCAGAACAAGUGUCCUUUCUACCUGUGUUAUGGCGUUGAUGCAGCAUAAAUUGUAAUGUCUUAUUUACAAAUUAAUGUAUUGUUGUGUAAAGACAGAGCUGAAGUGGGAACUGGGUGCCUUAUCAUUUAUCAUUCUGCUGUCAUAAAGAUCUUUUUUUGUUA
Molecule: long non-coding RNA, 2234 nt
Organism: Columba livia (rock pigeon)
Lineage: Eukaryota; Metazoa; Chordata; Aves; Columbiformes; Columbidae
Exons: 2
Source: RefSeq, a predicted model, not a curated record